GCCACGAUCGCUUAAUCUGGUAGAGCGCCGGUCUUGAAAACCGGUGUCUGAAAGGACCUGCAGGUUCAAAUCCUGCUCGUGGCG
RNAcentral lists this transfer RNA (84 nucleotides) under Nanobdellota archaeon. RNAcentral's name for it is "tRNA-Ser". It matches the Rfam family "tRNA". From Rfam's summary of the family: Transfer RNA (tRNA) molecules are approximately 80 nucleotides in length. Their secondary structure includes four short double-helical elements and three loops (D, anti-codon, and T loops). Further hydrogen bonds mediate the characteristic L-shaped molecular structure. tRNAs have two regions of fundamental functional importance: the anti-codon, which is responsible for specific mRNA codon recognition, and the 3' end, to which the tRNAs corresponding amino acid is attached (by aminoacyl-tRNA synthetases). tRNAs cope with the degeneracy of the genetic code in two manners: having more than one tRNA (with a specific anti-codon) for a particular amino acid; and 'wobble' base-pairing, i.e. permitting non-standard base-pairing at the 3rd anti-codon position. RNAcentral also lists the same sequence under 1 other name. Lineage: Archaea; Nanobdellati; Nanobdellota. The record is from RNAcentral.